GGCUGCUCCGGAGCUGGAACGAGCUGAUUCCCAUAAAUCACCAGCAGGAGGUGCCGUGGGGGGUGAAAGUUCUCAGCUGUAACCCUGAAUGUGCAAGAAGCAGAGAAACAAUAUCCAAGAAAAAGAGCUGGAAUUUUUCAUCUUGUUUUCAUCUAGGCCUUACUGAGGACAGUAGCAAACACCUGCCCUUUGCGAAGGAACACAGCACCGUACCGCAGCACAAACCCCACUGAGCACAGCAGGGGCUGUCCUGGUUAUCCAGCUCUGCCCCGGUUUCAUUACAAACUUCCUGUCUGUGAUGAUGUUCUGGUAACAAGGGGGCAAUCAGCUGUCAAAGGGAGGAGCCUAAAUUAGGUUUCCCUAAAUCCAUGAUUGGAAUAGUGACGCAAAGCCUCACUAGAAGCCAAGCAGCUCGGAAAGAAUGGGAUGAUCACAAUGCAGUGGAACACUAUUUAUCUGACCCUCCAGUAUCCGGUUCUCUGUAUUAACCCAACAACCACCGCGCACAGGUCCAGAAGUGGGCAAUCUCUCCUAUGGUCACUAGAUGGCGCUGCAGUCUGGCACUUUCCCAUUCAUCCGAUCAUCCGACGUUUUGGUUAACCAAUCUGGCCCUGGUCCCAACUUGAUGUGA
Mauremys mutica (yellowpond turtle) is the source of this 631-nucleotide long non-coding RNA. RefSeq lists it as uncharacterized. The transcript has 3 exons. NCBI's taxonomy places the organism in Eukaryota, Metazoa, Chordata, Testudines, Geoemydidae. The record is from RefSeq and is a predicted model, not a curated record.